Molecule: unclassified non-coding RNA, 831 nt
Filed under: Hevea brasiliensis (rubber tree)
Lineage: Eukaryota; Viridiplantae; Streptophyta; Magnoliopsida; Malpighiales; Euphorbiaceae
Source: RNAcentral
UAAAAUCCCUCACUAUCAAUCCUCUUCCUUUCCUUGCAACAAAAAUCCAACCUGAGUCCUCUCUUUUUCCACAUUUUUUUCUCUAACAAAUCUCUCUCUUUCUAUACAUGUCUAAUUUCUUUCUCUAGUCAUCUCUCUCUUCAGAGACCACCCUUCAACUUUAUUUCCCUCCUUAAGCGGCUACCACGCCACCGCCACCGCCACCACCUCUUCUUUGUCUCUCUCUUCCCGUAGUACCACAAAUGGGCAAUUGUUGCUCUCGUGGGGAAUCCGGGGAUGCUCCAGAAAAUGAAAAGGGAGAUCAAAGUAAUUAUCCAGGCAGUGCCCCCAAUGAAAACACCACCACCCCACCAGCUAAAAAUGCUCCUCCUUCUGCUUCUUCGGGCAAAGCUGCUCCUAUUGGACCUGUCUUAGGCCGGCCAAUGGAGGACAUAAAAUCAGUUUACACCAUUGGUAAAGAACUUGGUAGGGGUCAGUUUGGUGUCACCCAUUUGUGUACCAAUAAGAGCACAGGCGAGCAAUUUGCAUGCAAGACAAUAGCCAAAAGGAAGCUUGUGAAUAAGGAAGAUGUGGAGGAUGUUAAGAGGGAGGUUCAGAUCAUGCACCAUCUAACUGGUCAGCCUAAUGUUGUUGAACUCAAGGGAGCAUAUGAGGAUAAACAUUCUGUUCAUUUGGUGAUGGAGUUGUGCGCCGGUGGAGAGCUUUUCGAUCGAAUCAUUGCUAAGGGUCAUUACACCGAACGUGCUGCUGCUUCUUUGCUCAGGACUAUUGUUCAAAUUGUUCAUACUUGCCAUUCUAUGGGUGUCAUCCACAGAGACCUCAAGCCUGAGA